This 558-nucleotide long non-coding RNA is filed under the name Vulpes vulpes (red fox). Its description in RNAcentral is "lncRNA (ENSVVUG00000019406.1)". Lineage: Eukaryota; Metazoa; Chordata; Mammalia; Carnivora; Canidae. The record is from RNAcentral.
GAAACAUCAGUGAGGGAAGCCAUUUUCAAUGGGAUGCUCAUCUGCAGAUAACUCUGAGAUCUCAGACACAGAAAGGAUCCUGAGAACUUCUGCUGGGAGAGAGGAUGGUUACUAUUUGGGUCGUAGAUAAAUGAAUGGGAACAUCACAAGACAGUACGUAGGAAUAAAUGGGAUCAGAUUGAAUACAGACAGGCAUCCUGGCAAAGAAUCAAUCUAAAGGGAAGUACAAACUUCAUGCUCCACUGAUUGGUGGGGGGACCAAGUCGAUCUUACGGGAUCACAGUGGAGGACAAAAGGAGAGCAGGAAGAGUCAGUAUUUGUCAUGGGAUCCUUGUUGUAUUGAAACUGCACUUUUGAAAGUACAGAAGCACCUGUGGAGAACAUCAAAGAGAGCCGAGUGGAGCCGAGAGGAGACUAGAGAGUCAUGGAAGAAAAUAGUGAGAGACAGCAGGUGAACCACUCCGAUGAGAGAUAGGUGCGUGGAAUUCCAGAAGCGUUUGUCAGCGUUCCUAUUGACAUUUCUUUCUUUAAAUCCUCUAAUAAAAAGGAUGAAUUUUC